CUUUAAAUGAGGACUAGAAUCAACGGCAUCACGAGGAUCCCACUGUCUCCCCCCUCCAAUCAGUGAAACUGAUCUCUCCGUGAAGAAGCGGGGAUACAAAUAUAAGACGAGAAGACCCCAUGGAGCUUUAAACCCAACAGCACCCGUUUAUUUUCAUCCUCACAUAAGUUAGGUUAUGCCUGUUUGGUUUUAGGUUGGGGUGACCACGGAGUAUAAAACAACCUCCAUGAAAAAAGGACCAAAAAUCCUUAUUAGAGAAAGACAUUUCUAAAAUUAAUAAAUUAAUUUUUAAUGAUCCGAUAUUCGAUCAACGAACCAAGUUACCCUGGGGAUAACAGCGCAAUCCACUUCAAGAGCUCCUAUCGACAAGUGGGUUUACGACCUCGAUGUUGGAUCA
Molecule: ribosomal RNA, 397 nt
Filed under: Boophis elenae
Lineage: Eukaryota; Metazoa; Chordata; Amphibia; Anura; Mantellidae
Description: partial 16S ribosomal RNA
Rfam family: Bacterial large subunit ribosomal RNA
Source: RNAcentral